This is a long non-coding RNA of Balaenoptera ricei (Rice's whale), 2432 nucleotides long. RefSeq lists it as uncharacterized. The transcript has 7 exons. Lineage: Eukaryota; Metazoa; Chordata; Mammalia; Artiodactyla; Balaenopteridae. The record is from RefSeq and is a predicted model, not a curated record.
GUCUUACCCUGGGAGAACGGAUUCUCUGCAGCGCCGUCUAGGGGAACGUAGGCCUGGCUCUGCACUGUGUUCCUUCCCGGUGUGCCCGAGCCUGCAGAGCACUGGGGACAUUUGGUAGUGUGAGCUUCUCCGGGGGAAGUGGGAAAAAUCAAGGCCGAGGAGAGGGCCUUAGGGAGUCUCCAUUCUUAUGUUCCUACCAUCUUUGGAUCCUGGACGAUGAACCUCCAGUAAAGGCUGUGGCCUAGGCUCUCCCUUUGGUCCUGCCGCUUCUGCCUGUAUGGGAUGCUGGUGCUUUCCCAUGUGGCCCUGCAUGGUGUGGCAUGCCUCCUCCUUCUAGUACCUGUUAUCUCAUGCUCCUUCCUCACUGGAAUUUUGCCUGACAUCCCCAAACAUCUAAAUGCUUUAUCAUCCAGAACGUAUACGCCCGGGCUGCUCCAGAUGUAAACUGUCUUGUGGAAAUACCUCGGAGUUUGAAAAUGUCAAUACAGGUCUUCUGGCUGGUCCAAGAUUUAAAGUGACAUGAAACAGAUUAACAGGAGAAGAUCAAACAAAGAGCACCAUGAAGAAUAUGUCAACUUUAAUCAGCAGGUGAAUCGUCCAGGUUGUUGGAUUCUGAAGUGAGGGCUUUGAAUAGCUGUGGAGCAACGUGAAGACACUGAGGCAGAUGCCCUGGUAAGAAACCCACUGCUAGAGAAGAAAGCGAAAGCCCCUUCCAUGUGUCGUCUUCUGGCACACUGCAGAACAAGCACCGUGGCAUAAAUCACUCCAAAUUCAUCAGCUCUGGCGCACCAUCAAAGAAGAAGAAAGACUUCUAAUGGGGACCUUGUGGACUCCCUCUUGCAAGACCACUGGAAUCACAACUAACUGCUGAACAAUCAUUGACAAGAAGACACUGGAACUCACCAAAAAAGAUACCCCACAUCCAAAGACAAAGGAGAAGUUGCAGUGAGAUGAUAGGAGGGGUGAAAUCACAAUAAAAUCAAAUCCCAUAACUGCUGGGAGUGUGACUCACAAACUGGAGAACAUUUAUACCACAGAAGUCCACCCACUGGAGUGAAGGCUCUGAGCCCCACGUCAGGCUUCCCAACUUGGGGGUCCGGCAACAGGAGGAGGAAUUCCCAGAGACUCAGACUUUGAAGCCUAGUGGGAUUUGAUUGCAGGACUUCGACAGGACUGGGGAAAACAGAGACUCCACUCUUGGAGGGCACACACAAAAUAGUGUGCGCAUUGGGACCCACGGGAAGGAGCAGUGACCCCAUAGGAGACUGAAGCAGACCUACCUGCUAGUGUUGGAGGGUCUCCUGCAGAGGUGGGAGGCAGCUGUGACUCACCAUGAGGACAAGGACACUGGCAGCAGUUCUGGGAAGUACUCCUUGGCUUGAGCCCUCCCAGAGUACGCCAUUAGCCCCACCAAAGAGCCUGGGUAGGCUCCAGUGUUGGGUUGCCUCAGGCCAAACAACCAACAGGGAGGGAACUCAGCCCCACCCAUCAGCAGACAAGCAGAUUAAAGUUUUACUGAGUUCUGCCCACCAGACUGCCAUAUAUACACUAAUAUGUAUAAAAUAGAUAACUAAUAAGAACCUGCUGUAUAAAAAAUAUAAAUGAAAAUAACAACAACAAAGGAACUUGUGUACAUUGGUCUCACCCAGAUAAUCCGGGACAAUCUCUUUAUCUUAAGGUUGGCUGAAUAGCAAACUUAAUUCCAUCUGCAACCUUGAUUCUCCCUUGCCAUUGAACAUACUGUAUUCACAAGCUCUGGGUAUUAGGAUAUGGGCAUCUUUAGGGCCACUAUUCUGACCACCACAACAGUACAGUGAGUAGAACCUCAUGGGUGUCCAAUAAAGACCUGAUACAUUGAAGUUCCCUUUUAACUCUGACUGUCUGUGAAGUUAAAAAAUAUGUAUAAUAUGAAACAAUGCAACACACACAAAAAAAAUCUGACCUUUAAAUACAGAUUCAACUUUGAGCCAGAUGCCCAUUUAACCUUUGGGAAAUUGACGUUUGACGCUAAGUACAGGACUUGGCAUUUGACUGUCUUAUAGUUUUGAACACAGGUAUCAGUAUCAAAGAAUCUUCUUUAAAUGCUUUGCUUCAGUUGACAAUUUGGUGAGCAUGCUUUGUUGCCAAUACUCAAAUCAACGAUGAAAAUAUUGAGCAGGCCAGGCCUCACGUCGAAGUCUUGAAGAGUUCUCCUGGAGGCUUUUCUUGGCCCUGAAACUGAUCAUUCAUCAAUACUUGCAUCUGACCUGAGAGAUAGAAGGAGAGGGGGAAGAGAGAAAGACAAGAGGAGAGAGAGAAUGACUAAGAACAAGCUGCACUUCUGAGAAUAUGACACAAAGCAGAUGUUUUUUCUGGGGAUUGGUGUCUUGGAAAAAAAAUGGAGUUAUAAUAAGGCCACUUUUUAAUAAAUAUUUGCUAUUAUUAUUAUUCUA